AAAUACAUAAUCAGAGAUAUUUAACCACUGUUUUGUAACUCUUGUGAAGAAAGCGAACCUUACUUUGCAUAAUUAAAUAUUUUCAGAAUGAAUUGACCUUCCCCACCGAGGUAUAUAACUCCGAAUCAGUUUUUCUGUUGACAUCUCGCGGGAAAUCUCAUUAGCAUCAAUUUAUUUUGAUUUCCUUAUAAGGAAAUUGACCUUUACACUUGUGUCAAAGAUGGCGGUAUGUUUGAACUGAUAUCUCCGUGUGUCUUGCUCGUUUUUGAUUUUACUAUUUAUUGUUGAACAAUUGACGUAAUAUGCAGGUUUGUGGCUUGAAUAUUGAUAAUAGAUACCAGAAUCAUCACUUUACAUGUGUUUUUUAUCCGAGAAAAAAAUUUACCACAGCUAAAUACUGCCCGAUGUGAAUCACAUCGGGGCUUGCUACACUAUCGGCAAUGGGAGGGACUUCAUACCCUGCCGGAGAGCAGUGUAGGCAGGGUAUGAAUAUUCGUUCUAUACGGAGUUUAAAGUAUCAGCAGUAUUUUCUCCGUUUAGAAAAAAAUGACAGUAAGUUUAACAUGCCUAAAUCUUGCUGUUUGUCAUCAGAGAUACUCAUACUAACACAUUUUCCAAUGUCACCGUUCAUUUUAGCGAUGUAUCGGAUAUAUGGGUCCUACAUCAGCCGUUUGGUAGGUUUCGGCUGUAUGCAACUGGCAGCUUUAUGAGGGAAACUAUAUAAUCGAUUUCAAGCAAGAGACUUAAACCAAUGUGUUAUUUUUGAAAUGUGUUUCAUUUUUUAAGAAUACAAAAACGAAGGUAACCCGACAGGCCUACCAAUAUGUUAUUUUUGAAAUGUGUUUCAUUUUUUAAGAAUACAAAAACGAAGGUAACCCGACAGGCCUUGGUAAACUGGCUGACAUGCAGCAUGUGCAGAAUCUUCAGCUGGCCUUCAUCAUUCAAUUACAUGUCCAAUUGAAAUUGAUACAAAUUAAUAUAUAUACUGUUGUUAUAUAAACUUUUAUCAGUUGACCACCAGAUUAUCAGUACAUGGUUUUCACUUCUGUAUUAAUUUAGGAUUUUGUGGUUUAAUAUAUAAUGAUAACCUAUGUAUACAUUAUUUCUGUUGUUCCUGAUUCACACAGAAGUCAAUAAAGAACAUGAACUUGAA
Pecten maximus is the source of this 1153-nucleotide long non-coding RNA. RefSeq lists it as uncharacterized. The record is from RefSeq and is a predicted model, not a curated record. The transcript is spliced from 2 exons. Lineage: Eukaryota; Metazoa; Mollusca; Bivalvia; Pectinida; Pectinidae.